GGUGGUUCUUAGGUGAAGCACCCUGGAAUCUGGCUCCCCCCUCUCUGGUUCUGGGUGCAUCACUCGAGAACUGCU
Molecule: non-coding RNA, 75 nt
Organism: Myotis davidii
Lineage: Eukaryota; Metazoa; Chordata; Mammalia; Chiroptera; Vespertilionidae
Source: Rfam